Molecule: transfer RNA, 74 nt
Filed under: Planctomycetaceae bacterium
Lineage: Bacteria; Pseudomonadati; Planctomycetota; Planctomycetia; Planctomycetales; Planctomycetaceae
Description: tRNA-Val
Rfam family: tRNA
About the family: Transfer RNA (tRNA) molecules are approximately 80 nucleotides in length. Their secondary structure includes four short double-helical elements and three loops (D, anti-codon, and T loops).
Source: RNAcentral
GGGCGGCUAGCUCAGUUGGUUAGAGCGUUGCUUUCACACGGCAAAGGUCACAAGUUCGAAUCUUGUGCCGCCCA